CCUACGGGAGGCAGCAGUGAGGAAUAUUGGUCAAUGGACGAGAGUCUGAACCAGCCAAGUAGCGUGAAGGAUGACUGCCCUAUGGGUUGUAAACUUCUUUUAUAUGGGAAUAAAAUGUUCCACGUGUGGGAUUUUGUAUGUACCAUAUGAAUAAGGAUCGGCUAACUCCGUGCCAGCAGCCGCGGUAAUACGGAGGAUCCGAGCGUUAUCCGGAUUUAUUGGGUUUAAAGGGAGCGUAGGUGGAUUGUUAAGUCAGUUGUGAAAGUUUGCGGCUCAACCGUAAAAUUGCAGUUGAAACUGGCAGUCUUGAGUACAGUAGAGGUAGGCGGAAUUCGUGGUGUAGCGGUGAAAUGCUUAGAUAUCACGAAGAACUCCGAUUGCGAAGGCAGUUCACUGGACUGCAACUGACGCUGAGGCGCGAAAGUGUGGGUAUCAAACAGGAUUAGAUACCCCAGUAGUC
RNAcentral lists this ribosomal RNA (460 nucleotides) under uncultured bacterium. Its description in RNAcentral is "partial 16S ribosomal RNA". It matches the Rfam family "Bacterial small subunit ribosomal RNA", at positions 338 to 795 of the family's 1533-position model. The record is from RNAcentral.